Molecule: long non-coding RNA, 404 nt
Filed under: Medicago truncatula (barrel medic)
Lineage: Eukaryota; Viridiplantae; Streptophyta; Magnoliopsida; Fabales; Fabaceae
Description: long non-coding RNA (MTRU_LNC006812)
Source: RNAcentral
AGAGAACCGGACCGGAAAAGCUAGGAAAGAAGGAGACCGGAAAAAGAGGUAAAACUUCCACACUUUCAUUUGUAGAUCUAGGAUUUUUGGUGUAUGUUUUCGAAAUUUUGAGUUUGGAUUCGGGUAGAGGAAGGGAAAAGGAGUGUUUUGAUGUAAAAAAAUUCGAAAAAAAGCAAAAAAAAAAAAAACUCCGGCGCGGCGGCGCUCCGGCCGACCACCGCGCCGGAGCAGCUCCGGCCGCCCCUCUUCAUCUUCUCCGGCGCGCGUGUUCUUGAGGUAGGGGAGAGCUUCUCUCUCUAAGUUUAACUUAGAGAGAGAAGUGUUUUAGUUUUAUGGUUUUUUUUGUUGUUAAACUUGCUUUUAUACUAAUUUCUUUCUGCCGGAUCACACGCGCGCGUACUCAU